Non-coding RNA from Poecilia reticulata (guppy), 994 nucleotides. NCBI's taxonomy places the organism in Eukaryota, Metazoa, Chordata, Actinopteri, Cyprinodontiformes, Poeciliidae. The record is from RefSeq and is a predicted model, not a curated record.
AAACAAAAGAGAAUAACACAACUCGUUAUUAUUGUUUUUGUAGACAUGAAAUUCAGAGGCUGAUAAAAUACUGGAGAUGUUAAUUAAAAAUAAACAAACUGUUUUUGAAAUUAAACUGAAAUCCAGGGAAUUUACGGUUCAGUAUUUCAACUUUUAGUUUAUUCUUAUUUCUUAACUUAUUUUUCAAAAAUGUAUACUUGUUCUCUCUCCUACAGAGAUAAAAAAUAUAAAAUUAGAAGCUGGGAUUUUAAGCUCCUCUGCUGGAACAGAACAGAACUUCCCUUUCCACAGCUCUGCUGAGUGACCUCCCCGUUGUCCAGACUGGAGGUCAGAGAGCAUUACAACCUGUUUUAUCUUUGGUACAGCAAAAUAAAAUUCCUAUGACAUCAGCAAAACGAGAAUGUUGAUGCAGAAACAAACAUCACUCAUCUCCCAGCAGUCACGUGACUCAGAGCUGCGACUCUAAACGAAAGACUGCAGAGUUCAGAGUUUUAAACAAUCCAGGAAGUCACAGUGCGGUCUGCUAUCAUCCCAGGCAUAAGUUCUUACAGCAAACAUAUCAAACUCUGCCAUACAGUGAUGAAACUCCAGCACCAGCUCACUACUCUAUAGAAUCACACAAUAUGUCAGAAGUUUCUCCUUACCUGUGAGAGCACAGCAGGCAACAAGGAUCAACACAGCAACUCUCUGCAUGGUUUCAGGUCUUGACUGACAGCCUUGUUCUCCGUUCUUCACACCAGCCUGAUAUGCAAGAAGAGUGAGGCACUUCUUUCCAUAAAUACACGCCUGAGUCAAGGCAGUACAACAGCAGAGGAAGCACAAACAGCAAGCUUCAAAAUAAAAGCAAUGGCCGUUAAUGUUUGGGGCAACAAAACAUGACAUGAAGUUCCCGACUGUACAUAAUAGAGAUUGAGGAAAGUGAGCAUGGCAGAGUCAGCUGGUGAAGCCAUGAGUCUGACACUCUCCAUGUUUUCUCUUUCAAUCCACUUGAUGG